This 483-nucleotide ribosomal RNA is filed under the name Himantolophus appelii (prickly footballfish). RNAcentral's name for it is "partial 16S ribosomal RNA". It matches the Rfam family "Bacterial large subunit ribosomal RNA", at positions 1923 to 2555 of the family's 2925-position model. Lineage: Eukaryota; Metazoa; Chordata; Actinopteri; Lophiiformes; Himantolophidae. The record is from RNAcentral.
UUUAACGGCCGCGGUAUUUUGACCGUGCGAAGGUAGCGUAAUCACUUGUCUUUUAAAUGGAGACCUGUAUGAAUGGCAUUACGAGGGCUUAGCUGUCUCCUCUAUCCAGUCAAUGAAAUUGAUCUUCCCGUGCAGAAGCGGGAAUAAACACAUAAGACGAGAAGACCCUAUGGAGCUUUAGACACUAGAACAGAUUAUAUUAACUGCUCUUAACACAAGACGGAAGCGAAAUACCCUCCUGUUCCAAUGUCUUCGGUUGGGGCGACCCACGGGGCAAUACAAAACCCCCGCGCGGAAUGGAGGCACCCCCUUCCACAAAUAAGAGCCCCCGCUCUAAUUAACAGAACUUCUGACCAUAAAGACCCGGCAAAGCCGAUCCAACGGACCGAGUUACCCUAGGGAUAACAGCGCAAUCCCCUUCUAGAGACCCUAUCGACAAGGGGGUUUACGACCUCGAUGUUGGAUCAGGACAUCCUAAUGGUG